GUAGGUGAACCUGCGGAAGGAUCAUUAACGUUAAACCCCCCCGUGCACCUUCAAACACCAUACAGCGCUUCGUGACCCAUCUUGUGUCGGGAUUGAUGGUCGGGAAAAACAGGGAUCUAGGGAGUUGGUUGUCGGGGGAGAACCUCGCGAAAUGGGGUGGCACGCCGAGAGGGGGGACCAUUCCUGGUAAACGUGGUCUCCACUUCAACUUGUUUAGCACCUUUUGUCCUCUACCCGUACCGCUUGUCGCCACGAUUUGGAUCUUGAUGCACCCGUUUUCUUAGAACCACCGCGAAAACUAUGUCUUCCCGCAAAAGUACCCGCUCGGGGGGCCUGAGAACUUCCAACUGUUAACAAUGGAUAUCUUGGCUCUC
RNAcentral lists this unclassified non-coding RNA (374 nucleotides) under rhizosphere metagenome. Its description in RNAcentral is "partial ribosomal RNA internal transcribed spacer region". The record is from RNAcentral.